Molecule: long non-coding RNA, 808 nt
Organism: Phragmites australis (common reed)
Lineage: Eukaryota; Viridiplantae; Streptophyta; Magnoliopsida; Poales; Poaceae
Exons: 3
Source: RefSeq, a predicted model, not a curated record
AUGUGUGUACAAAUGCUAUGGCGCCAGAUUUCUCGCGAUGGUGCCAGAUUCCUUCCCAAAUCUGAGCUUCGGCCUAUCCCCCUGGAUUUAUCAGAUCCGAGAGCCCACGUCCCCGUCUUCGGCGGCCGAGUUCCGAGUUCCGAGUCCAUUCCCGGCGGCCGACCGAGUUCCGAGUGCCUACUGCGCCCAAUUCUUCGGCGGCCGAGUUCCGAGUCCGUUCCCAGAGAGAAGGUAGCGCCACAGCGUUGUGCUCGGAGCAGGAAGGGCCCCGGACGCCGGACCCCAAGACGCCUGGAAUGAUUUGGGCCUGAUUCAACUGGUUCGUGAUAGGCGGCUAUUUGUGAUCUGCUAGCUUGCGCUUUGAUCCAGGAGCCCCCCCAUAACUGAUCCCAUAUCUGAUUUUGGAGAUCGUCCAGGAUUGGGAGCAGGAGGUGAAGCUGGGGAAGGGGAAGAAGAUGUCGUGCGGGCUGGUGUAGUUCCAGGCGCUGCCGGUGUAUGUCAACAAGUUCAUUCUCCGCCACAACUGCUACGAGUGGCCGCUCCCGCAUGUACUGAUCUCCGCAACUCAUACUUGUAGUGGACAGAAGAGUACAAGUGCAAAGAUUUAUUUCCUAUUAAGAUGUUUAAAUCAUUGUUCAGCCAACCAUUAUUGUAAUCCUCAUUUUGAAAGUAAUCUAAGUUGUAAUCUUCAGUAUUCACAUCUCUGUAUUUUGUAUGUCAGUAAGUGCUGACGAAUUGUUUCACCUUCCUUUGUUUCCAUUACUUUAUAUGUGGCAUUUUUAGUUACCCUCGUUUUUAGCUUUUUAAA